GCGCCCGUAGCUCAGUGGAUAGAGCACAAGAUUGCGGAUCUUGGGGUCGGAGGUUCAAGUCCUCUCGGGCGUGCCA
RNAcentral lists this transfer RNA (76 nucleotides) under Armatimonadetes bacterium CG07_land_8_20_14_0_80_40_9. Its description in RNAcentral is "tRNA-Arg". It matches the Rfam family "tRNA". Rfam says of the family: Transfer RNA (tRNA) molecules are approximately 80 nucleotides in length. The record is from RNAcentral. Lineage: Bacteria; Bacillati; Armatimonadota.